RNAcentral lists this transfer RNA (84 nucleotides) under Spirochaetales bacterium. RNAcentral's name for it is "tRNA-Leu". It matches the Rfam family "tRNA". From Rfam's summary of the family: Transfer RNA (tRNA) molecules are approximately 80 nucleotides in length. The record is from RNAcentral. Lineage: Bacteria; Pseudomonadati; Spirochaetota; Spirochaetia; Spirochaetales.
GCCGGCGUGAUGAAAUUGGUAGACGUGCUAGACUCAAAAUCUAGUGGGGGCAACCCCGUAUCGGUUCGACUCCGAUCGCCGGUA